UACGAAGGGGGCUAGCGUUGCUCGGAAUUACUGGGCGUAAAGCGCACGUAGGCGGUCUUUUAAGUCGGUGGUGAAAUCCUGGAGCUCAACUCCAGAACUGCCUUCGAUACUGGAAGACUUGAGUCCGGGAGAGGUGAGUGGAACUGCGAGUGUAGAGGUGAAAUUCGUAGAUAUUCGCAAGAACACCAGUGGCGAAGGCGGCUCACUGGCCCGGUACUGACGCUGAGGUGCGAAAGCGUGGGGAGCAAACAGA
Molecule: ribosomal RNA, 253 nt
Filed under: uncultured bacterium
Lineage: Bacteria
Description: partial 16S ribosomal RNA
Rfam family: Bacterial small subunit ribosomal RNA
Source: RNAcentral